CGCGUGGGAAUCUGCCAAACAGUUUGGGCCGAAUCCCAAAGAAACGAAAGCAAAAAAGACUUCGAUAAAGACUAAAAGACGCUGUUUGAUGAGCCUGCGUAGUAUUAGGUAGUUGGUUGGGUAAAGGCUGACCAAGCCGCAGAUGCUUAGCUGAUCUUUUCGGACGAUCAGCCACACUGGGACUGAGACACGGCCCAGACUCCGUAGGGAGGCAGCAGUGGGGAAUAUUGGACAAUGGGCGAAAGCCCGAUCCAGCAAUAUCGCGUGAGUGAGUGAAAAACGUCGCGUUAGCGAGGAAGG
Molecule: ribosomal RNA, 300 nt
Filed under: uncultured Rickettsiales bacterium
Lineage: Bacteria; Pseudomonadati; Pseudomonadota; Alphaproteobacteria; Rickettsiales
Description: bacterial SSU rRNA
Rfam family: Bacterial small subunit ribosomal RNA
Source: RNAcentral